CGCGCCGCCCCUCCGGCGCCCUCCAGGCUUGGCCUGCUCGCCGGACGCCGGUCGCCUGUGGCUGCGCGGAGUCGCGCCUGCAAGCCUAAGAACAUUCUCGAAUCUUCUCUAUCCAGAAAUCACAUCUCUUGACCCAGAUUUCCUCUCAAGCUAAAAGUCCUGCAUAGGAAAUCUCUAGCAGGAUGACAAGAUCGUGGAUGCACCGUAUAAGGAUGUCACAACCACCACCUUUGUAUCCAAGAUCUAGACCGUACCUCUGGUGAUUUCCCUGGGAUAAAUAGCUGAAAGCGACCCACCAGGUAGAUUCCUAAAGGUGAAUUACUGUAUCAAGGACGUUUCUCAUCUACGGUGUCAAACUGUACCUCUAGAAGGACUUCCCAUUGCUUCGCUGGUAAAUAAUUGAUUUUUCUCCUGGUGAACUUACGAGUUCACCCUGAGACCCUGUUAAGGACGUCAGCUGGUAUUUACAACACAGCCUGACGCUGGUGGGGCAGCUCUCCUGGGCGGCUCUUUCCAACAUCCACGCAAGGAUCUUGGCUUCCACCACUUACCUUGAACACACGGCCCCCACGUGGAAAAGGACGGAUGUUGGACGACCAUUCACGGGGGUGUUACAGAGAGGCCUAGAAGGAGCAUAUUGCACUUCCACAGCAUCCAGCUGGCUGUGUCACAUGGCCCAGUCACCGACCCUGACCUAACUGCCGUGCAGGCCCAGGAAGAUAAAAUGGGACAGAAGAGCAUCCGGCCGGUCUCCGCAGCACCACCCUUGGAGGACCGUCCCCAGUGCUUCCAACUCCAGGAAGCACUUCCUGUCCCCUGAUGGCACAUGUCUCCCUAUUAACACUUGUUCCGUGCCUUCCUGGUGACUGUGAUGUGCUCAGCUGUUACAACCGUUGGUGACUCUGUCUGCCCUGUCCUCACCAGAGGGAAGCCUCUUGCAGGCAGAGACCGUGUCUAGGUCACCUUAGUGUCUCCACAGCAUCAGCCCCGCCAGCAGGUCAUAGGGGGCCCACAUAUUUAUGUUGAAUAGGAGAAGGCAAAUUUCCAUCACUGGUCUGAACAGCAGAGUAAAAGUUGGGAUGUUCUUUUCCCAUUCCUUCUCCCAGGCCACCCUGAGAGCCAUUCUAAUUCUAAAAAUAAUCACAAUGGCUUUCAAAGGGGAGAUUUCCAUGUGCCUAUAAAACCCCAUCAUUGACAUUUAUACCUAUGUUCCAUUUCUUUCCACAAUUCAUUAUAUUUUUCCACCCUUUACUUCCAGCUAAUGGAAAGUAGAUUUAAAAAAAAUCAGCCAAUGCAUUACAGGAAAAUUCUUGAUCCUAGAAAAAAAACAGAGAGGGGCACUUGAAAGGAAGUGGGUGGUGCUGCUCUCCUGCAUGCCGCGAGGCUGGAGGACCUUUGUUUCCGAUGCGCUGUGUGUGACUGCCCCCUUGCUGGUGCUCGCCACAGCAACCAAGUCCUGGUCUAGCAGAGACUGAGAGAGGGAGAGAGAGGCUUUGAAGAAAUAACCUUCACAUGAUGCAUCUCCUGAAACGUCUGCACAGGAAACAUACAAAGGGAGAAGGAGGAGAAAGAAACAUGGAACAGAUCUAGUUUUUUCUCAGUCGACACAUCACGGGGAACAUUUUCUGUCGUGUUUCCUUGUUCAGCAUGGGAGGUGGGGUUUCCGGCCCCCCCCCUCCUGUCACCUGCCUUGAUUUUUCUGAGAAGGCUCCUUCUACUCCCUUCCAUCCCUUCCCAUUAAGCUCCCUUCUUCCACUCUCCCUCCUGGAGUUAUGGAGACCUUGACUUUUAGAGCUGGGAAAACACUAAUCAAUAGCUUAUAGAGCGUUUCCAUUUCAUGGAGGCGCAUCCUGAUAAUUCCUCUCCUCCCUUGCAGUUCAGAGCUUCCACCGAAGAUUUUCAACUGAAACCACAGGACUGCAGAAUCCGAUUUGGGAAAAGGCUCUCAGCCAGAGACCUGGGAGGGGAUUUCUGAGCUUGAAGGUUCCUUUCUAAUCUUGAGUCAACAUCUGCAUGACCAAGGGCAUCCCCGGAGCAGUGGGGUGUCUCCCCAGACACGGGGAGAUGACACUUGGGAUCACCAGUGAGCAUUUCCACAACGCCUUUUCCUGUUCAUCUCCUCCCCAACGAAUGACAAGCGACGGACUCUGGACCAGGCACGAGAGUGAGCAAGAUUAACGUGGCUGCCGGGAGAGCAGCGGCCGGGUGCAGGGUCUGGACCGCAGCCCAACAGCGGGGAUCGGUGCUCACUGCUUUCUGGGGACAGACCAGAGUCCCAGCGCUGCGGAAGGUGCUCAGCUGACGUCUGGCUCUUCAGAGGGGGAGGUCAGUUGCUGUCGCAGAUGAGAGGGACGAGGUCAAGGGCCCUCGGAAAGCACAGAAGGCCCAGAAAUAACACCAAGAGUCUGUGCUGCCGGGACUGGAGGAUGCUGGAAAGGAGAGAAUGGAAACCUGCUCCGGCUGACCCUUUCACUGGCCGUGAUGAACUUCUUUUAAAAAGAUCGAAGAGCAGAGAUGUUUUUAAAGGAAAAGAAACUCAGGGGCUGAGCUGGGAAGGACACUUAUUUCAAAAAGCUUCUCUCCAGGUCAGAGAGCAGAAAGUCUUUUUGAAAUAAGUGUCCUCCCCAGCUCGGCCCCGAGACGUGUGCGGGCGGAGCGACCGGGUCUGUGCCGUGGCGCCGUGCACCCCAGCUGCUCAGGCCCAGAGCUGCCGCCGGCGGGAGCGAGAAAACAAAGCGAGGUCUCUUCCUCUGCCCACUGACCGCCCUUGGGACCCUGGUCUACAAAAAUAAAAAUCGUCAUCAUCAUCGUUUCCA
Lemur catta (Ring-tailed lemur) is the source of this 2816-nucleotide long non-coding RNA. RefSeq lists it as uncharacterized. Lineage: Eukaryota; Metazoa; Chordata; Mammalia; Primates; Lemuridae. The record is from RefSeq and is a predicted model, not a curated record. The transcript is spliced from 6 exons.